UCUGUAACAAAAAAAUAAAUAAAUACAUUUGCCGUCUCUUGCAAUUUGAAAGACAACCAGAAUCUCAAUCACUCGUUUUGUACAACUAGUUUGUGUCACUAAACAUUUUAAAAUUUAAAUCCAAAAAGAAACCGAAUUUAACUGUUUACAGUGACCUGUGAUGCACAGACGCGGCUGAGAUUCGCCGUGCCGCCGUCUCCGACGCGGUUCCGACAUGGACGCACGUACGACACGCGUACGAUUCGCGUCAGACGCGGAUAUUGCCGUAUCCAACAAAAACAAAAAAAACAUUUGGUCGGACACGGAUCCGAGACUGCUCUGGUGUAAACCGACGCGGCCAAUCACAGAAAAAAUGAAGAAAAAGAAUGAGAAUUAGAGAAUCAGUAGAGAAAGGUAGUGUUUUCGCCGCCCCCUUUUCCAUCACCACACCUUUUCCGGUGCCGCCGUCUGCUUCCUUCCCUUCUUCUUGGUUCUAAUUUCAUGGUUUUUAUUGUAAUCGCCGUCGCCGUUUAUGUUCCUCUGCUUUGCUGCUUCGUGUUUUGUCCAAAAACAUGACCACCACCACCACACAUUUUGUGACUUUGUCCUUUCUGAAUUAAUAUAAUAUAAUACUAUGACCGGUGCUAAUCACAUCCAAAAAAAAAACUAGUUACACCCAAAUUUAUUUAAAAUUUUACAAUAAUACCAAAAUUGCCCUCUUCAUGUAAAUUUUUAAAAACCCAUCUUUUAUGAUCAUUCUGAACCCUUACCCCCUUUCAUCCACAAAUCACGCAACCAAUAUCUGAAUCAACAUCUUUGUUAUUGAUCUGUACUAUAUUCAUAAAGGUUAGUGAAUUUCAUGAAUUUCAUUUUCAAUGAGUUUCUAUUUGUUUAUUGUUUGUUUUGGUAUGAGAUAUGUUCAAUUUAGGUUAGUGUAAAUUAAGUUUACUUAUGUUCAAUUUAGGUUAAUGUAAAUUUAGUUUACUUAUGUCAAUGUAAAUUAAGUUUACUUAUUAUGUUCAAUCUAGGUUAAUGUAAAUUCAGUUUACAUGUAUAUAAGAGGUUAGUGUAAACUCAGUUUACUCAAUCUAGGUUAAUGCAAAUUAAGUUUAUUCAAUCUAGGUUAAUGUAAAUUCAGUUUACUUAUGUUCAAUCUAGGUUAAUGUAAAUUCAGUUUACUUAUGUUCAAUUUAGGUUAAUGUAAAUUUAGUUUACUUAUGUCAAUGUAAAUUAAGUUUACUUAUGUUCAAUUUAGGUUAAUGUAAAUUUAGUUUACUUAUGUUCAAUCUAGGUUAAUGUAAAUUUAGUUUACUUACGUUCAAUCUAGAUAUAAAAGGUUAUUGUAAAUUCAGUUUACUUAUUCAAUUCAAUUUAGGUUAAUGUAAAUUUAGUUUACUUAUGUUCAAUGUAAAUUAAGUUUACUUAUGUUCAAUUUAGGUUAAUGUAAAUUUAGUUUACUUACGUUCAACUUAGGGGUAUAUUAGUCAUUCUGGGGUGUAACUUGUUUUUUUUGGGGUGUGACUAGCACCAGUCUAAUACUAUGAACCUUUACCACCACAGGUUUAUAGUAGUAACAUUUUUUCCUUAAAAAAAAAAAAAAGGUUGAUUUUCUCAAUGUGGGGUGAGUUGAACAUGAUUUCAUCAUUUUGUUACACAAAGUGUUGAGUUUAAAUAAACAUAAAGUUUGCUUUUCAUUUUAGAGUUAAAUUGUGAUCAUAAAUUUUUUAUUUUAUGAACAUGUAAAAUAUAUAAAGCCGUGUCCGUGUCCGUGUCCUAGGUUUUUUUAGAUUAGCCGUGUCCGUGCUGUGUCCCGUGUCCAUGCCUCAUUUCACAUUUUUCCAAAAAAGACUAUCUGAUUCAUCAGAGAACUAUGAAAAAUACUAAGCUGAAAAGAAGGGUACAAAGAACAAGUAUGAUAAAGGGAUACAUUUUCAUAUUAAUUAAUCUUUAAAAUACUUUUCAAAGGUUUACUUCAAAGAUUUCACAGUCAGGAAAUACCAAAACCAAACAGUUUGAAGUUUAAACAAAA
RNAcentral lists this long non-coding RNA (2008 nucleotides) under Medicago truncatula (barrel medic). RNAcentral describes it as "lncRNA gene48703". The record is from RNAcentral. Lineage: Eukaryota; Viridiplantae; Streptophyta; Magnoliopsida; Fabales; Fabaceae.